UGAGUUUAUAUAUUGUAUGUAAAGGAGAUUUGGUUAGUAGGUUAGGUGAAAAUUGUUUGUUUUCUUUAUAGGGGAGUACUGUUGAGGAAUUUUUUAAUUUGUAGGAAUAAUAGGUUGUUUAGUACCUUUUGUAUUAGGGUUGAUUAAUGUUAGUUGGCUUUGGGUUUUUCUCGAUAAACAUCGAGCUAAUGUGUCUUAGUGUUAAUUCGUUGUAUAGAAUUUAGUAGGGUAUUUUAGUUAUGAAAUAUUAUUCAAGUUGUUUUGUAUCUAGUUCUUUAAGAAAAUUAAUUGUGGAUAUUGUUAUUUGAUCGUUAAGUAGGGAUUAGCUUAUUUAUUUUUUAUAUUUGGGUUAUUUAUUUUAUUAUUAGUUAAGUUGAUGGUGCUUGUUUUUAUGGAGUUAUUAUUGAAUAAUUUAUUUUGGUUUAUUUUAUUAGUUUGUGUUAAAAUUAGAGCUCUUUUUUGAAUUGUUAAUAAUUGGUGAUAAUGAUUAGAUUAGUAAUAGUUUGUUUAAUGGUGUAAGAUUUAUUUUUAAUUUAUUUUGAGUAGUGUUAGAGAUUAUAAUUGAUUAACUAGGCAAAAAUUGGUUUCUGACUGUUUAGCAAAGACAUUGUUUUUUGUUGAGAUAAAAAAUAAUUUCUGUCCACUGCUAUUGAGUGAAGGGCUGCGGUAAGUUGACUGUAUGAAGGUAGCAUAAUCAUUAGUUUUUUGAUUGAAAGCUGGUAUGAAGGUGAAACGGGGAUUUGCUGUGUUUAUUUUAUGAUAUGAAUUUUAUUUUUAUGUGAAAAAUCGUAAUUGAGUUUAUGGGACAAGAAGACCCUAAUAAGUUUUAUUUCUAUUUUUAAUGCGUGUGUAGGUUAAGAAUUUAUAUAAUUUAAUUGUAGGAGUUUGGUUGGGGCGACAAUUUUUAAACGUAAAUUAUUAUUUAAUUUUGUUUAUGACGAUUAUAAGACCUGGGUUGUUUAGGUGAGAGUAAAAUUACUAUAGGGAUAACAGCGUUAUUUUAUUUGAGAGUUCUUAUUGACAAUAGA
This 1028-nucleotide ribosomal RNA is filed under the name Rhysodesmus zapotecus. RNAcentral describes it as "partial large subunit ribosomal RNA". The record is from RNAcentral. Lineage: Eukaryota; Metazoa; Arthropoda; Diplopoda; Polydesmida; Xystodesmidae.